This 516-nucleotide ribosomal RNA is filed under the name uncultured bacterium. RNAcentral describes it as "bacterial SSU rRNA". It matches the Rfam family "Bacterial small subunit ribosomal RNA", at positions 31 to 518 of the family's 1533-position model. The record is from RNAcentral.
GAACGCUGGCGGCGUGCCUAAUACAUGCAAGUCGAACGGUCUUUCUAUGGAAGCUUGCUCCACUGAGAAGAUAGUGGCGAACGGGUGAGUAACAACGUGGGGUAACCUGCCCAUAAGAGGGGGGAUAACAUCCGGAAACGGGUGCUAAUACCGCAUAGUUUCUUGAUCGCAUGAUCGGGAAAGGAAAGACGGCCUUUGUGCUGUCGCUUAUGGAUGGACCCGCGGCGUAUUAGUUAGUUGGUGAGGUAACGGCUCACCAAGACGAUGAUACGUAGCCGACCUGAGAGGGUGAUCGGCCACAUUGGGACUGAGACACGGCCCAAACUCCUACGGGAGGCAGCAGUAGGGAAUCUUCCGCAAUGGACGAAAGUCUGACGGAGCAACGCCGCGUGAGUGAAGAAAAGGUUUUCGGAUCGUAAAACUCUGUUGUCAGAGAAGAACAAGUUGGAGAGUAACUGCUCCAGCCUUGACGGUAUCUGACCAGAAAGCCACGGCUAACUACGUGCCAGCCGCUGC